UUAACUUAAUGGGUAUUAGGUGUCUUAGGACAUAACAGGGAAGAAAGUAAAAGCUUUCGCUGCCCCAGCAACCGUAAAACGGACAAAUCACAUAAGCCACUGCGACUAAGCGGGAAGGCGUGAGGCGGAUGAUGUCUUAGCCGGUAGACCUACCUUUUAUCUACUUUUGUA
Molecule: non-coding RNA, 171 nt
Filed under: Acholeplasma brassicae
Lineage: Bacteria; Bacillati; Mycoplasmatota; Mollicutes; Acholeplasmatales; Acholeplasmataceae
Also listed under: 1 other name
Source: RNAcentral